UCCACCUUACCUCUAUUAUAGGAAAACAAAUUAAAAAAUUGUGUUGGAUAUUUAAAAAUACUAACCCUAAAUUUAGGAAUUGACAGUCUAUUUACACAUUUUAAUGGAGAUGUGAAUUUGAAUAUUGCAAUUUACCUUCUUUGGAGUAAACCAAAUUGUACCUCAUUUGAUAAAUGGGGAAUCAAAAUAACAAUAGUCAAUAUAAAAAAUAAUUAUACCAUACUGUUUUAUGUAUUAACUAAAUCCUUCAACAGUCUUAAUGCCACCAUUGGUGAUUGAACUAAGUAGAUAUUCUUGAUUAGAAAAAAUGUUCUCUCAUCCCAACUUAGUCAUAAUUUUUUAAUUUCCUCCGAUACUCCAACAUAUUUUUAACAAUUUUCACAUUAUUAUUUUAU
This 395-nucleotide long non-coding RNA is filed under the name Vitis vinifera (wine grape). Its description in RNAcentral is "long non-coding RNA (VVIN_LNC003009)". Lineage: Eukaryota; Viridiplantae; Streptophyta; Magnoliopsida; Vitales; Vitaceae. The record is from RNAcentral.